GUACAUUUAUUUUGACAGUUUCAGUGCUCUUAUGAUCAAAAGAAGUCACUAAAAUGAUAAUCAUUUAAGAGCAGUGGUUUAGGACCAAGUUGUUAGCUUCCUGUUCAGUUUUUCAAAGCAUGGCCUGUGAUGGAUUUCUGUGCUAGGACAUUUUUAUAAAUUAAGAGUAAAUACGUUUUUAUGGGUGUGCACAUAUUUGUUUUCUGUUAUUUCUGUACUCUUAAAUGUCACUAUAUCCAGAGCACACCAGUAUACUCCAUCUUCAUGGGAUGCUUAGUUCUAAGUUGAUGGUGCUGGUACUUUCUUAACCUGUACUUUGCCCACUGGAAGCUGAUUUUUACCCCUUGACUUUCUUGCUAAUUUUUACAGGAGAAAUGUAUUGACUUCGCUAUUAUAAUGUAAAUGCAAAAUCAGAUUGUAAGAGUAGUUUGAAAAGGGUGAAGCUUUUUUAGUUCACUAAUGCAGAGGCUGCAUCAGGAAUUUUCUUAGGUAAAGACGUUUGUUGUUAUUUGGAUUUUAUAAAUGCUCGUUAUUUGGUAGGGAGUUUCCCAUUUUAGAGGCAAUUUAUUUCCCAAGGGCUUUAGAACUGAAAAUGUAGGGGAGAAGAUGAGGGAUUGAAUUUGAAAACUAUUUCAGGGCCUGAGAAUUAAAUUUCUUUUAUUUUAUACAGGUACUAUUUAUAAAUUAUGCUAUUGUGCCUAGAAAUGCCAUCUAGAAGAAGAAUGAGUUCUGUUUUGAAGGGAGAGGGAAAAAAAUCCUUAAAUCUCCAAAAUGAUGAAUAUGACAAAAGGUCUGAGGCUGACAAAAGCAUGAGGCAAAUGCAGCAAGGAGUAGAAAAUGGGUGAACAAGCAAGCAAGUUGGAGAACUGCCUGCUCAAUUGGUCUAGUGAAACAAAUAUUACUGCAAUUUAGGUACUGAACAAAUUAGACUGCUCCCUACUCCUUCAAAACCUGCAGAAUUUGCACAUCAGGUGAGCUGGACAUAUGUAGAAACAUAGUGGGGUCCCCUCAGCUUAGAAUAAAACUCAAAUUCAUGGUAGCAAUAAUGUCAAUGGGAAGUAAACUUAUUGAAGCAAAUUAUAAAAAUAAUAGGAAAUCUACCAUGAGUCAAAAUAUAGCAACUUAUAUUUCAGUUAAUGAAAUUUGGUACAUUCUAUGUAUUUAUGUAUUCUCCAUUUUUAAUGUAAUUCUAGUUUUUUUCCUAUGGAGAACUAUAUAUGAAAAGAGAUUGUUUUUAAAAGAUAGGGUAUUUAUAUUCUAGGUUGUUUUAAGGAUACAGUACUGUAGGUCUACCGUUGAUCUCAAGUUUACUAAAAUUCACAUCUAUGGUAUAACUUAGAGAAAGCAGAAGGGAAAUUAUUUUAAUUUAAAAUUGUACACCAAAAAAAGUCCAAGCAAAAUUUUGAACCAUUUUGAUAAGCAAGGCCUGUGGAUGUUUUGACUGUUGCUCAAUUUAAACAAAAAAAAGAGUAAAUAUAAUAGGUUUUUGAAAAUGAAAUAAAUAAUAUGGUGCUCCUCUGACAUUUUUUCAGAUGAACAAUUUUUCAGGAAGAUUACAAGGCUGAGUAGUCAGUUUUUGAGAGGUGGAGUAUAGUUUAGUUGGUGGGCCUGCUGUGAUUGGAAUUGAUUAAUGGGUGUUGUGAUAAGCAUAGAAACAGAUCAGUGGCAGCUUAUCCUGCUUUCAGCUGUCACAGCUGUGCCUCUUCACUCUUCUUCUGGCCCUAUCACACUCCCUGGCAGCCUUUAAAGUACCUCCUUCCCAGUGGAAUUUCUGCAAAUCAUCUACUCAAAUGCCAAGAUACCCUAGAAGCAGCUGUGUCUGAGAAAAUUUGUUCAGGCUCACGUAUUUGUUGUGAUGAAGAAUAUCACGUUAGAGAAUCCUUUCCUCCUGCAGGAGGAAGCACGCUGUGCCAUCCCCUGAAGAGAGAGUUAAAUGAUGAUUCUGAUGGGCAGGUUUUGGAAGUUCUGAAUGUACUUUGAAAGCAUUUCCCUGGUUUCCUUAAUGAGAACUGUGAUCUCCAGUGUGAUCCCUGAUGCAGGUAGUUUGAUAGGAAUCAUGCAGUUUUAACAAAAAAUUACAGGUAUGUGGCUUUUAUACAAAAUAAAGAUGGGACCCUGAGGUCCCUUCUAAGCUGGCAUUCAAUGAGCCAAACCUUUUAUGUAACUUCAUGGAUUUGAGGAGGAUAGCCCAGGAAUUAUGUGCUUUGUGGGAUAUGAGACUUAAUGCUCUGUAGGAUUUCUCUGAUUUGUUACAAAAAAUAUUUUCUUCAUUUUAUUGGAAAGAGAAUAAGCCUAGAGCAUGGGAAUAACUGUACUGCUCUUUCUGGACAUUUUGUAGAUUAUAAUACUUAGGUGGUAAAAAGUCUUGUUAUGAAAUCUCUGGGUGCUGUAAAUAAUUUUUGGCUUCUCUGUAUGCUUUAAAUGCCUGAGGCAGCUAUCCCAGCAUUAUCAAUAAAUAUUAAAACAUGUUUUUAUCCAACUCAGGCAAAUUAAAUCUGAAUUGAAAAGCAAAUGAUGCACACAGAAGGUCUCAUCUCUGGCUAAAUCUGCAACAUGUU
Long non-coding RNA from Passer domesticus (house sparrow), 2558 nucleotides. RefSeq lists it as uncharacterized. The transcript has 3 exons. The record is from RefSeq and is a predicted model, not a curated record. Lineage: Eukaryota; Metazoa; Chordata; Aves; Passeriformes; Passeridae.